CGCUGGCGGCGUGCCUAAUACAUGCAAGUAGAACGCUGAAGGAGGAGCUUGCUUCUCUGGAUGAGUUGCGAACGGGUGAGUAACGCGUAGGUAACCUGCCUGGUAGCGGGGGAUAACUAUUGGAAACGAUAGCUAAUACCGCAUAAUAGUAGAUGUUGCAUGACAUUUGCUAACAGGUGCAAUUGCAUCACUACCAGAUGGACCUGCGUUGUAUUAGCUAGUUGGUGGGGUAACGGCUCACCAAGGCGACGCUACAUAGCCGACCUGAGAGGGUGAUCGGCCACACUGGGACUGAGACACGGCCCAGACUCCUACGGGAGGCAGCAGUAGGGAAUCUUCGGCAAUGGACGGAAGUCUGACCGAGCAACGCCGCGGGAGUGAAGAAGGGUGUCGGAUCGUAAAGCUCUGUUGUAAGAGAAGAACGAGUGUGAGAGUGGAAAGUUCACACUGUGACGGUAUCUUACCAGAAAGGGACGGCUAACUACGUG
RNAcentral lists this ribosomal RNA (488 nucleotides) under uncultured bacterium. Its description in RNAcentral is "partial 16S ribosomal RNA". It matches the Rfam family "Bacterial small subunit ribosomal RNA", at positions 34 to 507 of the family's 1533-position model. The record is from RNAcentral.